GUGCUUAACACAUGCAAGUCGAGUGCGCGCCUGUAGCAAUACAGGUGGCGCACGGCGCACGGGUGCGUAACACGUGGGUAAUCUGCCCUCUGAUGGGGAAUAACUCGCCGAAAGGCGAGCUAAUUCCGCAUAAUAUUCCGAAAACUUUGGUUUUUGGACUGAAAGGCGUAAGUCGUCGGAGGAGGAGCCCGCGCACGAUUAGCUAGUUGGUAGGGUAAUGGCCUACCAAGGCUUUGAUCGUUAGCUGGUCUGAGAGGAUGGCCAGCCACACUGGAACUGAGACACGGUCCAG
RNAcentral lists this ribosomal RNA (292 nucleotides) under uncultured bacterium. RNAcentral's name for it is "partial 16S ribosomal RNA". It matches the Rfam family "Bacterial small subunit ribosomal RNA", at positions 44 to 334 of the family's 1533-position model. The record is from RNAcentral.